CCUACGGGGGUCAGCAGUGAGGAAUAUUGGUCAAUGGGCGUAAGCCUGAACCAGCCAAGUCGCGUGAGGGAUGAAGGUUCUAUGGAUCGUAAACCUCUUUUAUAAGGGAAUAGAGUGUGGGACGUGUCCUAUUUUGUAUGUACCUUAUGAAUAAGGAUCGGCUAACUCCGUGCCAGAAGCCGCGGUAAUACGGAGGAUCCGAGCGUUAUCCGGAUUUAUUGGGUUUAAAGGGUGCGUAGGCGGGCUUGUAAGUCAGCGGUGAAAGUCGGUGGCUCAACCAUAGAAUUGCCGUUGAAACUGGGGGGCUUGAGUAUGUUUGAGGCAGGCGGAAUGCGUGGUGUAGCGGUGAAAUGCUUAGAUAUCACGCAGAACCCCGAUUGCGAAGGCAGCCUGCCAAGCCAUGACUGACGCUGAUGCACGAAAGCGUGGGGAUCAAACAGGAUUAGAUACCCUGGUAGUC
This 460-nucleotide ribosomal RNA is filed under the name uncultured bacterium. Its description in RNAcentral is "partial 16S ribosomal RNA". It matches the Rfam family "Bacterial small subunit ribosomal RNA", at positions 338 to 795 of the family's 1533-position model. The record is from RNAcentral.